CAGCAGCCGCCGCGGGAAUACGUAGGUGGCAAGCGUUGUCCGGAAUUAUUGGGCGUAAAGGGCUCGCAGGCGGUUUCUUAAGUCUGAUGUGAAAGCCCCCGGCUCAACCGGGGAGAGUCAUUGGAAACUGGGAAACUUGAGUGCAGAAGAGGAGAGUGGAAUUCCACGUGUAGCGGUGAAAUGCGUAGAGAUGUGGAGGAACACCAGUGGCGAAGGCGACUCUCUGGUCUGUAACUGACGCUGAGGCGCGAAAGCGUGGGGAGCGAACAGGAUUAGAUACCCGUGUAGUCCCUGUCUCUUAUAA
RNAcentral lists this ribosomal RNA (304 nucleotides) under uncultured bacterium. Its description in RNAcentral is "partial 16S ribosomal RNA". It matches the Rfam family "Bacterial small subunit ribosomal RNA", at positions 506 to 809 of the family's 1533-position model. The record is from RNAcentral.